This is a ribosomal RNA of Desulfovibrio sp. 6_1_46AFAA, 115 nucleotides long. NCBI's taxonomy places the organism in Bacteria, Pseudomonadati, Thermodesulfobacteriota, Desulfovibrionia, Desulfovibrionales, Desulfovibrionaceae. The record is from Rfam.
UUUGGCAGCCAUAGAGAAGAGGGUACACCCGAUCCCAUUCCGAACUCGGUAGUUAAGCUCUUCCUCGCCGAUGAUACUGCAUAACGUCAUGUGGGAAAGUAGGCCGCUGCCAAAA